GUUGUUAUUUUUAACAAAUUUUACAACCCAAAUUUUACUAUAGCUUUUGGAUGUUGAACUUUAUUUCUGUGUUUUUGCAAAAUACAUUCAAAUGUACACGAACAAUUUUUUCCCCUGGAUCCGUCUAUUUUUAAAUCCACAUCGGACCAAAUUGACUAAGAAAACAUUUACUCAAGAUCCCCACUUCAUAGCAGCUAUCAUCUUCACUGCAAAGUAACUUGUGUAACACUUCUUUUGGUCAAUAAGAAAGUCAUUUAUAAAACACGGACUGAAUUUUUUUUCAUUUUUGUGGAACUGAAAGUUAUAUUAAGUGAAACUGUCUGUUAUUCUAUUCAUAAUUUAUAUGAAAAUAAUUCAAUUCAGAAUACAUAGUAAAUUAACGAAGAUGUUUUUGAAAGCACAAAACAAAUUUUGUUGUAGUAAUAAUAUACAACUUAAACGGAAGCUUGCUCUGUCUGACUAAACAAAUAUAAUUGUUUAGUUCAACCAAAAACUGAAGUUUGUAAAAAAAAACUAAGAAAUGCGUAUCUUCAACUCCUAGUUUAUAAUUUUUCACUCUGAGGCUUGUGGUGAUUAGGUUGGGAAUCUUAUGAAUAGUAAUCAACCAUGUGAUAUUGUGCAAAGUUGAAUUCUUUUAUGUAAUCAAAUUUACUGGGUUGAGAAGAGUAUUUCAGAUUUUCAAUGUCUUUAAAAUCAAACAAGUAUAAUUCUUGUCAAAAAGUAUGAUGUCUGAGUAAUCGAGUAUUUUUUUUAAUAAUUAACAGUUCAAUUUGCCCAUCUUAAUAUAUAAGAAUCAACAGUUUCAUGUCUCAAUUAUGGUUGUUCAAUAAAUUAUACAACGGUUUGAACUGCCGAUUGUAAAAAAUAUAUGGAAUUGAAAA
This is a long non-coding RNA of Leptinotarsa decemlineata (Colorado potato beetle), 881 nucleotides long. The record is from RefSeq and is a predicted model, not a curated record. NCBI's taxonomy places the organism in Eukaryota, Metazoa, Arthropoda, Insecta, Coleoptera, Chrysomelidae.